AAGCGUUUGCAGCCAGACGUGCCCGCGGUUGUUCUCUUCCGUGGGCAGGCCAGCAUCAGUCCGGGCGGUCGGACAAAGACCUCUGUCAAGUAUCACCUCUCGAGGUGACCUUAUAGGGGAGGUGCAAUGCGACCAGCCUGGGCUGAGGCCCGCGCACCUGCUAGGAUGCUGGCUUAAUGGCUGUAAGCGG
Molecule: ribosomal RNA, 190 nt
Filed under: Helminthosphaeriaceae sp.
Lineage: Eukaryota; Fungi; Ascomycota; Sordariomycetes; Sordariales; Helminthosphaeriaceae
Description: partial large subunit ribosomal RNA
Source: RNAcentral